Molecule: ribosomal RNA, 519 nt
Filed under: uncultured bacterium
Lineage: Bacteria
Description: bacterial SSU rRNA
Rfam family: Bacterial small subunit ribosomal RNA
Source: RNAcentral
UGGGGAAUCUUGGACAAUGGGGGCAACCCUGAUCCAGCCAUGCCGCGUGAGUGAUGAAGGCCUUAGGGUCGUAAAGCUCUUUCGCCUGUGAAGAUAAUGACGGUAGCAGGUAAAGAAACCCCGGCUAACUCCGUGCCAGCAGCCGCGGUAAUACGAAGGGGGCUAGCGUUGUUCGGAUUUACUGGGCGUAAAGCGCACGUAGGCGGAUCGUUAAGUGAGGGGUGAAAUCCCAGGGCUCAACCCAGGAAUUGCCUUUGAUACUGUUAGACUAGAGUUCGGGAGAGGGUAGUGGAAUUCCCAGUGUAGAGGUGAAAUUCGUAGAUAUUGGGAAGAACACCAGUGGCGAAGGCGGCUCACUGGCUCGAUACUGACGCUGAGGUGCGAAAGUGUGGGGAGCAAACAGGAUUAGAUACCCUGGUAGUCCACACCGUAAACGAUGAAUGCCAGUCGUCGGGUAGCAUGCUAUUCGGUGACACACCUAACGGAUUAAGCAUUCCGCCUGGGGAGUACGGUCGCAGA